RNAcentral lists this ribosomal RNA (122 nucleotides) under Paenibacillus cremeus. Its description in RNAcentral is "Paenibacillus sp. JC52 partial 16S ribosomal RNA". It matches the Rfam family "Bacterial small subunit ribosomal RNA", at positions 1 to 130 of the family's 1533-position model. The record is from RNAcentral. Lineage: Bacteria; Bacillati; Bacillota; Bacilli; Caryophanales; Paenibacillaceae.
UUUAAUGGAGAGUUUGAUCCUGGCUCAGGACGAACGCUGGCGGCGUGCCUAAUACAUGCAAGUCGAGCGAGGGUCUUCGGACCCUAGCGGCGGACGGGUGAGUAACACGUAGGCAACCUGCC